UGCCAGCAGCCGCGGUAAUACGGAGGGUGCAAGCGUUGUCCGGAUUUACUGGGCGUAAAGCGCACGUAGGCGGACUGGAAAGUUGGGGGUGAAAUCCCGGAGCUCAACUCCGGAACUGCCUCCAAAACUACAGAGCUAGAGGAUGUGAGAGGUAAGCGGAAUUCCGAGUGCAGAGGUGAAAUUCGUAGAUAUUCGGAGGAACACCAGUGGCGAAGGCGGCUCACUGGCUCGAUACUGACGCUGAGGUGCGAAAGCGUGGGGAGCAAACAGGAUUAGAUA
RNAcentral lists this ribosomal RNA (279 nucleotides) under uncultured bacterium. RNAcentral describes it as "partial 16S ribosomal RNA". It matches the Rfam family "Bacterial small subunit ribosomal RNA", at positions 506 to 784 of the family's 1533-position model. The record is from RNAcentral.